AGAGUUUGAUCAUGGCUCAGGACGAACGCUGGCGGCGUGCUUAACACAUGCAAGUCGAACGGAGAUUUAGGAGAGCUUGCUCUCCGAAGAUCUUAGUGGCGGACGGGUGAGUAACGCGUGGGCAAUCUGCCCGUAAGAGGGGGAUAACACCUAGAAAUGGGUGCUAAUACCGCAUAACAUCACUGAGGUGCAUGCUUUGGUGAUCAAAGGAGUAAUCCGCUUACGGAUGAGCCCGCGUCUGAUUAGCUAGUUGGUGGGUAACGGCCUACCAAGGCGACGAUCAGUAGCCGGCCUGAGAGGGUGACCGGCCACACUGGAACUGAGACACGGUCCAGACUCCUACGGGAGGCAGCAGUGGGGAAUCUUCCGCAAUGGGCGAAAGCCUGACGGAGCAACGCCGCGUGAGUGAUGAAGGCCUUCGGGUUGUAAAACUCUGUCUUCAGGGAAGAAACAAAUGACGGUACCUGAGGAGGAAGCCACGGCUAACUACGUGCCAGCMGCCGCGGUAAUA
RNAcentral lists this ribosomal RNA (511 nucleotides) under Peptococcaceae bacterium enrichment culture 13Fcon01. RNAcentral describes it as "SSU rRNA". It matches the Rfam family "Bacterial small subunit ribosomal RNA", at positions 8 to 525 of the family's 1533-position model. Lineage: Bacteria; Bacillati; Bacillota; Clostridia; Eubacteriales; Peptococcaceae. The record is from RNAcentral.